Molecule: ribosomal RNA, 509 nt
Filed under: Thamnosophis lateralis
Lineage: Eukaryota; Metazoa; Chordata; Lepidosauria; Squamata
Description: partial 16S ribosomal RNA
Rfam family: Bacterial large subunit ribosomal RNA
Source: RNAcentral
AACCUUUAGCAGAACAAAUAUUAAAGGCGACGCCUGCCCAGUGAACUAUUAAACGGCCGCGGUACCCUAACCGUGCAAAGGUAGCAUAAUCAUUUGUCUAUUAAUUGUAGACCGGUAUGAAAGGCAAAAUGAGGGCCUGACUGUCUCUUAUAAUACAUCAAUUAAACUGAUCUCCCAGUCCAAAAGCUGGAAUACAAACAUAAGACCAGAAGACCCUGUGAAGCUUAAACUAAACUAUUAAAACCUAUAAUAACACCUUUCGGUUGGGGCGACCUUGGAAAAAAAAAGAACUUCCAAACACAUGACCUUUCAUCAUUCAAUCAGGCUAACAGGCCAAAAUAUAAGACCCAGCACAGCUGAUAACUGAACCAAGUUACUCCAGGGAUAACAGCGCUAUCUUCUUCAAGAGCCCAUAUCAAAAAGAAGGUUUACGACCUCGAUGUUGGAUCAGGACAUCCUAAUGGUGCAACCGCUAUUAAGGGUUCGUUUGUUCAACGAUUAAUAGUCCU